This 429-nucleotide ribosomal RNA is filed under the name Acidobacteriota bacterium. RNAcentral's name for it is "Acidobacteria bacterium partial 16S ribosomal RNA". It matches the Rfam family "Bacterial small subunit ribosomal RNA", at positions 355 to 776 of the family's 1533-position model. The record is from RNAcentral. Lineage: Bacteria; Pseudomonadati; Acidobacteriota.
UAGGGAAUCUUCCGCAAUGGGCGAAAGCCUGACGGAGCAACGCCGCGUGAGUGAUGAAGGUCUUCGGAUCGUAAAACUCUGUUAUUAGGGAAGAACAAAUGCGUAAGUAACUAUGCACGUCUUUACGGUACCUAAUCAGAAAGCCACGGCUAACUACGUGCCAGCAGCCGCGGUAAUACGUAGGUGGCAAGCGUUAUCCGGAAUUAUUGGGCGUAAAGCGCGCGUAGGCGGUUUUUUAAGUCUGAUGUGAAAGCCCACGGCUCAACCGUGGAGGGUCAUUGGAAACUGGAAAACUUGAGUGCAGAAGAGGAAAGUGGAAUUCCAUGUGUAGAGGUGAAAUGCGCAGAGAUAUGGAGGAACACCAGUGGCGAAGGCGACUUUCUGGUCUGUAACUGACGCUGAUGUGCGAAGGCGUGGGGAUCAAACAGG